Molecule: small RNA, 628 nt
Filed under: Pongo abelii (Sumatran orangutan)
Lineage: Eukaryota; Metazoa; Chordata; Mammalia; Primates; Hominidae
Description: processed transcript
Source: RNAcentral
UGAGGACUGACUUGGGUUCUGAGACUCCCUGUCCCGGACCGCAGUGUUAAAAGGAUCUGAACAAAGUCUGCUCAAAUCUCCUGCUGUGAACCAGCAGAAUUUUUGAACAGAGUUUCACUCUUGUUGCGGAGGCUGGAGCACAAUGACGUGAUCUCGGCUCACCACACCCUCCGCCUCCCGGGCGCAAGCAGUUCUCCUGCCUCAGCCUCCUGAGUAGCUGGGAUUAUAGGCAUGCGCCACCACACCCCGCUAAUUUUGUAUUUUUAGUAGAGACAGGGUUUCUCCAUGUUGGUCAGGCAGGUCUCAAAUUCCCGACCUCAGGUUAUCCACCCGCCUUGGCCUUCCAAAGUACUGGGAUUACAGGCGUGAGCCACCGUGUGUGGCCUUUAUUUUUAUUUUUUGAGAUGGAGUUUCACUCUUGUUGCCCAGGCUGGAGUGCAGUGGCACGAUCUUGGCUCACUGCAAUCUCCGCUUCCUGGGUUCAAGCGAUUCUACUGCCUCAGACUCCCGAGUAGAUGGGAUUACAGGUGUGUGCCACCACACCCGGCUAAUUUUUUGUAUUUUUAGUAGAGACAGGGUUUCACCAUGUUGGCCAGGCUGGUCUCGAACUCCCGACCUCAGGUGAUCC